GAAAUAUUUAAUUUAAAUAAAAAUAUUAAUUUGCAAAAUUAAAGAUAUAAUAUUACGUUAUAAAUUUCU
This 69-nucleotide transfer RNA is filed under the name Parevania sp. ZJUH_2016024. Its description in RNAcentral is "tRNA-Cys". Lineage: Eukaryota; Metazoa; Arthropoda; Insecta; Hymenoptera; Evaniidae. The record is from RNAcentral.